Molecule: unclassified non-coding RNA, 379 nt
Filed under: Athalia rosae (coleseed sawfly)
Lineage: Eukaryota; Metazoa; Arthropoda; Insecta; Hymenoptera; Athaliidae
Description: misc RNA ENSAEAG00005009656.1
Source: RNAcentral
UACGGUCGCUGACGUUGAUCCCUUGUGCAAUGAGCUGCAGUAAGAAUGUGUCGUGGACCAACCAAAGAUCCUCCACACCAAAAUUCCGUACGCCUUGACCCAUGCAAAAAUAUUGCCGCCAUCCAAGGCCAACGACCAGGGUUUAUUAAAAUUACCAUCGUCAUCUUGAAUCAAGUUAUUGUCAAUGGUAUCUGUGAUCUCCAGGCUAGUAGUAUUACUGGAUGUAGUGGAAACUGAGGUUCCGUCUGUAUUUGUAGGAGCUACAGGAAGAAGUGGGAUUGGCCUAGGAGUCGAUGGUCUGGUAGGUCGUUGAUAAGAGGGUCGCAGUGGUCGAGAGGUAGUCUCAGUAGCGGGAUAGAUAGUACUGCCGGUACUUGGC